Molecule: long non-coding RNA, 1122 nt
Organism: Photinus pyralis (common eastern firefly)
Lineage: Eukaryota; Metazoa; Arthropoda; Insecta; Coleoptera; Lampyridae
Exons: 5
Source: RefSeq, a predicted model, not a curated record
UCGCCAGUAAUAGCGGUUGUGUGUGUGUGUGUGUGUGCUCCGCACGUAUGACGUCAAAAUGUCCAACGUGGAUGGCACAUCGAGAAGUUUUCACCUAUUCUCUUCUUGCAAAUAAAUUAAUGACAAACUGCUCCUAUACGUAAACCAUGAUUUUGGAAGAGAAUGGCGGAAGAGGGGGUUGUCCAACACCACUUUGGAACGGAAUACCUGAGUGCUUCAAAUGUUUCCACUUCCAUUGCUUCUGAUGGAAUUUUUAUGGAUUCAAUUCGUCGAUUACCAACGCGAUGUACUUCACGGGAAAAGACAUGUCACUCGUUGGAGCCGCUACUAGAGCAGCCAGGUGAAGCCACGUUCCCACUUCGCGUUCCAUGCAUAUUGUAGAUGAAACUUUCCGGAAAAGAUGGAGUUUGAGGUAUUGGCCUGCAAGAUCUUCGUCACUAUUUCUUAUAAAAAGAUGAAAAGAUGCUUUGUCCAACACCACUUUGGAACAGAAUAUCCGGGUGCGACAAAUAUUUCAACUUCCAUUGCUCCUGAUGGAAUGUUUAUGGAUUCAUUUCUUCGAUUACCAACGCGAUGCUGCCCGAGAUGUCGAUACUUCACGGGAAAAGACCGGUCUCAAGCAGUACCUACCUCCAUCGCUAGCUAACGACGACACUUUUCCGUUGCGAAGACCGAAGGAACUAGUCACCUCUGCAGUUGUCAACAAAGACCAACAUUCUUAGGGAUUGAGUACUAUUCACCAUCACCACUUCGAAUUCGGCGCUGUCACCAUCAUCAUUCCGGUCCAUCCCUCAUCGAGGUCUAAGGUAGCUACUAGUAGUCAAUCAAAGGGCCUAUGGUGUUUCACUACUAGUAGCUUCAAUUGAGAACAAAAUAUACGUAUCAAGUUAUUUAUUUUUUGUUAUCACUGUUACAAGAACAUUUUGUAAUACAAAAAAAUCUCUAGAAUAGAAUAAUAUUGUACUGCCCUCACUGCUCUUUUGCUGGCAGCUGGCAUUAGUUCAUCACACGACAUAGCCUCACCCAGCAAAAAAACAAUUAAAACUGUGAAAGCAAACGGAAUUUUUUUAAUUAAAAAGAGAAUCUAUAUUUAAACUUGAUUAAAAAUUUCCCAAAUGUAAC